Small nuclear RNA from Brienomyrus brachyistius, 92 nucleotides. The record is from RefSeq and is a predicted model, not a curated record. NCBI's taxonomy places the organism in Eukaryota, Metazoa, Chordata, Actinopteri, Osteoglossiformes, Mormyridae.
GUGAGUUUGAAUGGAGAAAAGGUUAGCACUCCCCAUGACAAACAUGGAAGAGGUCUUAGUGACCAGAGAGAUAGUCCAGACCGGGAUUUUGU